This 434-nucleotide ribosomal RNA is filed under the name uncultured bacterium. RNAcentral's name for it is "partial 16S ribosomal RNA". It matches the Rfam family "Bacterial small subunit ribosomal RNA", at positions 29 to 507 of the family's 1533-position model. The record is from RNAcentral.
AGCGAACGCUGGCGGCAGGCCUAACACAUGCAAGUCGAACGAACCUUUCGGGGUUAGUGGCGGACGGGUGCGUAACGCGUGGGAACGUGCCUUUAGGUUCGGAAUAACUCAGGGAAACUUGUGCUAAUACCGAAUGUGGCCUUCGGGGGAAAGAUUUAUCGCCUUUAGAGCGGCCCGCGUCUGAUUAGCUAGUUGGUUGAGGUAAUGGCUCACCAAGGCGACGAUCAGUAGCUGGUCUGAGAGGAUGAUCAGCCACAUUGGGACUGAGACACGGCCCAAACUCCUACGGGAGGCAGCAGUGGGGAAUCUUGCGCAAUGGGCGAAAGCCUGACGCAGCCAUGCCGCGUGAAUGAUGAAGGUCUUAGGAUUGUAAAAUUCUUUUACCGGGGACGAUAAUGACGGUACCCGGAGAAUAAGCCCCGGCUAACUUCGUG